CAUAGCGACUAUCGUGGCAUAUCAAUAAGCGGAGGAAAAGAAACUAACUAGGAUUCCCUCAGUAACGGCGAGUGAAGCGGGAAGAGCUCAAAUUUGAAAUCUUAAAGGGUUUCCCUUGACGAAUUGUAGUUUAAAGAAGUGUUUUCUGUUGGAGUUUUCGGUAAAAGUUCUUUGGAAUAGGACAUCAUAGAGGGUGAGAAUCCCGUAUUUGACCGUUACUUUCCUAACUGUGUGAUACACUUUCAAAGAGUCGGAUUGUUUGGGAAUGCAGUCCAAAAUGGGUGGUAAAUUUCAUCUAAAGCUAAAUAUUGGCGAGAGACCGAUAGCGAACAAGUACCGUGAGGGAAAGAUGAAAAGAACUUUGAAAAGAGAGUUAAACAGUACGUGAAAUUGUCAAAAGGGAAGCGUUUGACACCAGUGUUGUUUAGUUGAAAAUCAAUUCAAUAAUUUUUGAUUUUGAGUAGUAUUGACUUCAUCAGCUUGCUGCUUUCUUUUCAGAAAUUAUUGAAUGCACUUUUCAGUUAACAAGUCAACAUCAAUUUCUUUUGUUGUAAAAGGGUAAGAGGAAGGUGGCUACGCUUCGGCGUAAGUGUUUAUAGCCUUUUACCUCUGCAAUCGGAGAGAUUGAGGACAGCAGCGUAGACUCUUCGGGGUUAGAUACACUUGUGCUAAGCUAUAGCCUUGUAUAGACAACUUGUUGACUAUGCUCAGUCAUGUAGCUUACUCGCUUGUGCUAUUUUACCUACGCUUAGGAUGUUGAUAUGCAUGACUGAUAU
Molecule: ribosomal RNA, 776 nt
Filed under: uncultured Neocallimastigales
Lineage: Eukaryota; Fungi; Neocallimastigomycota; Neocallimastigomycetes; Neocallimastigales
Description: partial large subunit ribosomal RNA
Rfam family: Eukaryotic large subunit ribosomal RNA
Source: RNAcentral